Molecule: ribosomal RNA, 465 nt
Filed under: uncultured bacterium
Lineage: Bacteria
Description: partial 16S ribosomal RNA
Rfam family: Bacterial small subunit ribosomal RNA
Source: RNAcentral
GACGAACGCUGGCGGCGUGCUUAACACAUGCAAGUCGAACGGAAAGACCCCUUUGGGGGUACUCGAGUGGCGAACGGGUGAGUAACACGUGAGUAACCUGCCCUUGACUUCGGGAUAACUUCAGGAAACUGGGGCUAAUACCGGAUAGGAAUCCUUGCUGCAUGGUGGGGGUUGGAAAGCUUCGGCGGUUUUGGAUGGACUCGCGGCUUAUCAGCUUGUUGGUGGGGUAGUGGCUUACCAAGGCUUUGACGGGUAGCCGGCCUGAGAGGGCGACCGGCCACAUUGGGACUGAGAUACGGCCCAGACUCCUACGGGAGGCAGCAGUGGGGAAUAUUGCACAAUGGGCGGAAGCCUGAUGCAGCAACGCCGCGGGCGGGAUGACGGCCUUCGGGUUGUAAACCGCUUUCAGCAGGGGCGAAGCUUGUGGUGACGGUACCUGCAGAAGAAGCACCGGCUAACUACGUG